Molecule: long non-coding RNA, 1117 nt
Organism: Frankliniella occidentalis (western flower thrips)
Lineage: Eukaryota; Metazoa; Arthropoda; Insecta; Thysanoptera; Thripidae
Exons: 3
Source: RefSeq, a predicted model, not a curated record
GCCCGCGCCCGCCCUCUGCCGGCCAAUCGGCAGUCGGCUCCAUCCAUGCUUUCGAAAGAGACAGAGGAAAAUCGCGUUUGUUUCUAUUUUAAUCUUUUGAACUGUUUUACCACAUUUUUGUAGUUUUACUAUUGACUGCGAAGGCUUUUGGAACCGUCGGAGAGUAUAAUCCUGCUCUAGUAUGUUCGAAUAUCGUCAGUGUGCACAAGUUUUCUUUGGGAGUAGGCUAAGGAAGUACAACUUUCACAACCGAUCUCAGGUGACGCACUUAAGCUUCUGUGUUUUGAUAACUCCUUGAGGAUUUGUGGAUAAGGAAUUUUGGUAUCCCAGCUCUUAGAUUCCAUCUGGAGGAAACAAGAAGUUACGAUUGGAUGUUUAAACCAACGACGUCACUGAUCUGCUUGAGUCACCAUUUCCUACCUGUUGCCAGUAUGAAGGCCUCAUUAAAGUUAAGUACUCUAUUUGGUGUCUUGUUUACUUGUCACUGUCAGUGAAUUUCAAUGUAAUUCUUUUUCAUAUGUGUUAUAUGCUCUUCUGUCUUGUUCUCUUUAAAUCUAUUGCCGAGUCUUACCUCUGUUGAAUUGCUUUUAUCAUUGAUGGGUUUCUCUCUAUUUAUCAUGUUUGUGUUUAAACUCUUUCCUGUUUUGUUUCGAAUUAUUUGGUUUUUGCCAUGUUUGUGUGUGUCCGUGUGCCCUAAGCAUAAUUUGCCUCUGUGUGUUGCUCCGUGAGUUUUGACAUUUGAUAUUGUUUUCAACGGUGUUCCUCUGUUUUGUUGUUGUUGUUUCUCUUUGCAAAUUGAAUUCUUUUUGAACUGCCUAUUGUUUUGUUUUUGCACUCUGUUGUUCUGUACUGAAAUUACUGCAAAUUAUUUUUGAUUCUUCUGUUGUGAGUGUACCCUGCCUAGUGCUUUUUUUAUCUCUGUGUGUGUUGCGAUUUGACAUUUGACUGAUUGAGCCUUGAAUUCUGAACGAUACCUUGCUUUUUGUUAUGUUGUGUUUUACUUGUGUUAAUUUUACCUUACUUGCUCCUGUCUUGAUUUUUUGCCAUGAUGUUGAGUGUAUUUCUGGUGCUUUUCUGAAGUGAUAUUAUCGAAAAUGAUUUUUGAUUCUUCUGUAUG